Molecule: ribosomal RNA, 266 nt
Filed under: uncultured bacterium
Lineage: Bacteria
Description: partial 16S ribosomal RNA
Rfam family: Bacterial small subunit ribosomal RNA
Source: RNAcentral
GUCUGGCCCUAAACGGUGCACGUUUGCUGUAAGCGGGGUCGAACCUGUUUGUGGCGAAGCUAACGCGUUAAACGUGCCGCCUGGGAAGUACGGCCGCAAGGGUUAAAACUCAAAGAAAUUGACGGGGGCCUGCACAAGCGGUGGAGUAUGUGGCUCAAUUCGAUGCAACGCGAAGACCUUACCUGGCCUUGACAUGCAUCUAGUAGAAGGGUGAAAGCCUGACGAGGUAGCAAUACCAGGAUGCACAGGUGCUGCAUGGCUGUCGU